UACGUAGGGUGCAAGCGUUGUCCGGAAUCACUGGGCGUAAAGCGCGCGCAGGCGGCUGUCUACGUCCGGGGUGAAAGCCCAGAGCUCAACUCUGGGACUGCCUUGGAUACUGGAUGGCUUGAGGAUCGGAGAGGCAAGGGGAAUUCCACGUGUAGCGGUGAAAUGCGUAGAGAUGUGGAGGAACACCUGUGGCGAAGGCGCCUUGCUGGCCGAUUUCUGACGCUGAGGCGCGAAAGCGUGGGGAGCAAACAGG
RNAcentral lists this ribosomal RNA (253 nucleotides) under uncultured bacterium. RNAcentral's name for it is "partial 16S ribosomal RNA". It matches the Rfam family "Bacterial small subunit ribosomal RNA", at positions 524 to 776 of the family's 1533-position model. The record is from RNAcentral.